RNAcentral lists this ribosomal RNA (738 nucleotides) under Cyanobium sp. LEGE 06008. RNAcentral's name for it is "bacterial SSU rRNA". It matches the Rfam family "Bacterial small subunit ribosomal RNA", at positions 747 to 1484 of the family's 1533-position model. The record is from RNAcentral. Lineage: Bacteria; Bacillati; Cyanobacteriota; Cyanophyceae; Synechococcales; Prochlorococcaceae.
UCAGGGACGAAAGCCAGGGGAGCGAAAGGGAUUAGAUACCCCUGUAGUCCUGGCCGUAAACGAUGAACACUAGGUGUCGGGGGAAUCGACCCCCUCGGUGUCGUAGCCAACGCGUUAAGUGUUCCGCCUGGGGAGUACGCACGCAAGUGUGAAACUCAAAGGAAUUGACGGGGGCCCGCACAAGCGGUGGAGUAUGUGGUUUAAUUCGAUGCAACGCGAAGAACCUUACCAGGGUUUGACAUCCUGCGAAUCUUUUGGAAACCAAAGAGUGCCUUCGGGAGCGCAGAGACAGGUGGUGCAUGGCUGUCGUCAGCUCGUGUCGUGAGAUGUUGGGUUAAGUCCCGCAACGAGCGCAACCCACGUCUUUAGUUGCCAGCAUUGAGUUGGGCACUCUAGAGAGACCGCCGGUGAUAAACCGGAGGAAGGUGUGGAUGACGUCAAGUCAUCAUGCCCCUUACAUCCUGGGCUACACACGUACUACAAUGCUACGGACAGAGGGCAGCAAACUCGCGAGAGCUAGCAAAUCCCAUAAACCGUGGCUCAGUUCAGAUCGUAGGCUGCAACUCGCCUACGUGAAGGAGGAAUCGCUAGUAAUCGCAGGUCAGCAUACUGCGGUGAAUACGUUCCCGGGCCUUGUACACACCGCCCGUCACACCAUGGAAGUUGGCCAUGCCCGAAGUCGUUACUCCAACCCUUGUGGAGGAGGACGCCGAAGGUGGGGCUGAUGACUGGGGUGAA